AUUGAACGCUGGCGGCAGGCUUAACACAUGCAAGUCGAGCGGGGUGAUGGUGCUUGCACUAUCACUUAGCGGCGGACGGGUGAGUAAUGCUUAGGAAUCUGCCUAUAGUGGGGGACAGCAUCUCGAAAGGGAUGCUAAUACCGCAUACGUACUACGGGAGAAAGCAGGGGAUCACUUGUGACCUUGCGCUAAUAGAUGAGCCUAAGUCGGAUUAGCUAGUUGGUGGGGUAAAGGCCUACCAAGGCGACGAUCUGUAGCGGGUCUGAGAGGAUGAUCCGCCACACUGGGACUGAGACACGGCCCAGACUCCUACGGGAGGCAGCAGUGGGGAAUAUUGGACAAUGGGGGGAACCCUGAUCCAGCCAUGCCGCGUGUGUGAAGAAGGCCUUAUGGUUGUAAAGCACUUUAAGCGAGGAGGAGGCUCUUUUGGUUAAUACCCAGAAUGAGUGGACGUUACUCGCAGAAUAAGCACCGGCUAACUCUGUGCCAGCCGCCGCUGUAA
Molecule: ribosomal RNA, 502 nt
Filed under: uncultured bacterium
Lineage: Bacteria
Description: partial 16S ribosomal RNA
Rfam family: Bacterial small subunit ribosomal RNA
Source: RNAcentral